This is a long non-coding RNA of Gymnogyps californianus (California condor), 2429 nucleotides long. RefSeq lists it as uncharacterized. The transcript is spliced from 8 exons. The record is from RefSeq and is a predicted model, not a curated record. Lineage: Eukaryota; Metazoa; Chordata; Aves; Accipitriformes; Cathartidae.
GGACAAGAAGAAUUUCUGCUUCAGAACUUGGCUGCUGAAGGCUGAGUUGCAGGGUUUGCUGGGAAGCUCCUGCCACUGUGCUCCAGGAGCUGAUGUAAAAACCAGAUGCAUGAUCAUCGAAGAAAUAUUGCAAAACUUGUCAACUUAUUCAAGACUCCUGCUGUUGAAUUGCAUCAAUGUAACUGAAAGCCUACUCAGAACAAAUGAACUGCUGUGCUGGAAACUUGUGCUUUUUAUUGUAAGCCCUGCAACAUUGGUGUUUUCCUUGUAUUUUCAGCUCCUGGAGUCAGGAGAUGCUGCUCCAAGGCUGACAGGGAUAAUGCAAAAGACCUGGAAGUCAAAUAAAAAGCAGAAGUGACUGGCAGGAACAGAAGCCGGAAAAGGUCAAGGCAAAGUGAAGGAGUACAGCUGCAGUGUCCUUGGGAACACAUUUGGGUAAUGUCCUCCAGCUGCCUGAGUACCUGCACCACCAGUGCUUGCAACACUCUCUCCCUCCUACAGUAAUUCUUUGUGACCAAGCAGUAACAGCUGCAGGCUCUAGGACCACUUGGGAUGCAGGGGGUGGAUGGAAGAAAUGUCUGAUGGAUACAGCUGUUAUCCAAUCUUGUAUGAUCUACUGCUCUGCAGGGACAGAGAUCACUUGUGUGUGAGAAAGAGAGAGCAAUUGCUUAUUGAUGUAAUGGAAGCAAAUGAAGAUAAUGUAAAGGGCAGGUAAAUGACAGCAUCUUUCUGGAAGAUAUGCAGAAGCUUUCCUGCUUCUUCUGAGGUACUUGCAAAUUUUGCCAGUUACUCGCCCUAAGUGGUGUUUGUUUCCUUUCCACAAAGAUGACAACAGCUCUGAAUGCUGAUAAAACAAAGCUUGGCAGAGUCCCAAGCAAGAUAUCUUGUUCCGGGACUACGGUCAGCCUGAGCUUCUCACUUACCUUGCAGGCAUUCAGUCUUCAAAAGCCAGGAACAUACAUCUGUGGGAGGUAAAGUUACAACAGAAUUUUGAAUAAACUGAACCUGGAAACGCUUCCAGCUCAGCUAACAGAAUGACGUGGUGGCCUUGGAAAAUGACACGCUCUGAAGGCUGGCACUGGGGGAAAUGAAGAUGCAGAGUUAGAAGGGUUUUGAACACGUGGGAAAAUGAUGGAGAAACAGCUUCAAAAUGCUUACUCAGCUCCUUCAAAUCUUCAUGCUGGACAACAGGGAUAUAUAUGAGCUGUAAAGAAAGGUACCUCCCAGUGAGUAUGUUUUCUUUUAUUUUUAUAAUUAGCCUCAUUGGAGCACCAAUCCAGAGACUUCUGGACUUGGAGGGAGACUUGUCAUCAUAACUGAGCAAAACAAGGAUUCGGGUUUAUUCCGAUACUUAUUCAUAAUGCAGAUCCCAGUAUGGGUAAAGACAGAGCUUAUAGUGGGACUCAUAAUUCAAUCUUGAGUCUUAUCAUUUGCAUGUGGGAAAAGAAACCCAUUCCUCCUAAGCAGACAUAUACCAUAAAACCUUCUCAUAAGGCUGGAAGGGGCAUUUGCAGUCCGUUAUCCUUCUCAACAAAGGAAUAACUGUCCAAAGCCAUUACAUUUCUCAAAUCCUUUUUUACAGUAUUUAUAGAGAAAGGCCAUAAAUAUCCUAGAAUAAAGUAACUGACCAUGGACUCGCUGGGAAUGCUGGUAUUUUUUCUCUACUAGUUUGUUUGGUUUUUUAAACUAUGAUGUUGUCACUAAGUUCUCUGACACCAGAUGUCAUGACUAAUAUUCUCCUUAUUUUGUUAGCUUGUUCUGUUAGAGUAAGGACUCAGAGAAACUGGGGCCAUCCCUUUCUAUUCCCAAAGAUUAUCUUUUUCACUUUAGUUGCCACUACAUUUGUCAUAAUGCUAUGAAGCCGGUCUGAAGAGCUUUGCAAAGACCUUAAAACUGGUAGAAGUCAUUCUUUUGCCUAUCAUGAGAACAGAAUCUGGCAUUUAAUCCAUUGGAAUAGCUAGAUAUCAUCAAGGAGCUUUCUGAAAACAAACUCUCUAAUCUGUAUCAUUUGCAAAUAAAUAAACAAGAUGUCUGGUCGUCUUUCUCGGAUAGCUACAGUGAAAGGACAUAUACGCAAACAUAUUAAAACAAUAUCAGAAAAGCCAGAAACAGGCUGCGUCUUAUAAAGCUAUUCACUGGAUUUAAAUGGUUGUGGAUAGAUCAUAUUAGAAAAUGGACAUGAACAGAAUAGAGAUGGAUCCGUAUCAGCACACAGAGAUGUUUAGAACACUUUUUCAUUGCAAGAUACUAUUCCUGUACCUCCGCUCGUCAUUUUUGGUUUCUAGUGGUUCUGAACAAAAUGGUAUUUCUGUAGACAUGGCCAUCACUUACAAUUAUUUAAGAAAUAUUGCAAGGAAAUAUGCAUCUCUGGGAUGUUCACCAUGUUCUCCAGAGCCAAACUGGUGGCCUUGUGUUUUGUGUCUUGUGCU